This is a non-coding RNA of Camelina sativa (false flax), 1452 nucleotides long. The record is from RefSeq and is a predicted model, not a curated record. Lineage: Eukaryota; Viridiplantae; Streptophyta; Magnoliopsida; Brassicales; Brassicaceae.
CUAAAAAUUGACUAAAAAUCAGUCUUUCCCCACUUUACUUAGAAAUUGUAGACUCGAAAAGAACAAAAGAAAAAAAAAAAAUUUCUCUUUCAAAAUCCAUGGAGAACCCUAAAAAAAUCUAAAUCUUAUUUUCUCUUCUUCUUCUCUUCUUCAUCUCCUUCACAUCUUCUUCUUCUUUCUCCCUAGGGUUAAGAGUAGCGAGAAGCUAAGAUUUUGGCUAAGAAGUCAUAAGUGAGAUGAGAGAGAACGAAUUGAAGCUGCGAUGAAGUGUUUGAGCUUGUCGACGACGGUGAUAAAGGGUGGGUACGAUCGACCAGGUACGGUGCGACAGAUGAAGAUGGAGGGGAAAGGUACGGUGCGACAGAUGAAGAUCUCGUGACUCUUCAAGGCAUGGCGGAGGCGUCUCUUUCUAUUAAUCUUGCCGAGCAGCCGAGAUUUCCAAUUCGAUUUGUCCAUGCUCGAUUUCCGCAGAGAUUCUCGUUAAGGCUUCGCUAAAGGCAAAAAAAUCACAAUCAAAAAGUCGACACUUCUCCAGAUAUCGGGCCUAGCGUGAAAGCAGCUGCCUCUUCUCAAAUGGAGGCAGUCAUCAAUGCCUUGCAGCUCCUGGUUUCGUUCUUCUUUCUCUCCUCUUUAUCUAUUCAUAUCUGGCUUAAUCAAUCAAAGGUUACUUGAUAUUACCACUGUGUUUUCUUAAAGGGAUCACGUUGCUGCUCAGAUUUAAGAAACUAAUGAUGGUAAUUAGAAUCGUUGAUGUGGUGCCGGUGUCGUUUUGGUGUCUUUGCUGGUGAGGAUUUGAGGAGGACUUUGUUUGUUUCCAUGGUGUUUCUUCUACUCUCAUCUGAUUUGACGGCCAAGUAAUAAAGACAGCAAAAGCAGCAGACUCAAGUUAUUGACCCAUUCAGUAUUCUUGGACUGGAACUUGGAGUUACCGAUUUUGAAAUUAAGAAAGCAUAUAGAAGGCUCUCCAUUCAAUACCAUCCCGACAAAAAAUCCAGAUCCAGCAAAGUUAUGGAAGUUUUCACCAAGGCAGCUAUGGAGAUUCUAGUUCGUAGAACUGAUGAUAAACCUUUGCAGAAGCUCUUUAUGUGUGUUAGGAGUGAGCUAAAUUUGGAUCUGAAGAACAUGAAGCAAGAUCAAGCUAAGUUUUGGAAACAGCAUCCUGCCGUAGUGAAGACGUAGUUGUUGAUACAUGCCCAGCUAACUCGUGAAUCAAGAGUCUUGUCUCCAGCCCUUCAGGGCGAUUUCAUGCGUGUGCUAGAGCUUGCACCUCGCCUCUUUGAGGAGUUGUUGAAGGUCUAGAAAAGUCUCUAGGUUCAUGUUUUUGUUGAUUCUGGCACUUGUAAUGUUAGGUUAAGACUUGGUUUGAGACUUGUAAUAUAUGUAGUGUAUUGUGGUUGAAAUGUUUAAAAUGUAUAUGUACGGUAUUUCAUUUUAUAAAGUUUUUCUUAUAUA